GAUGAACGCUGACAGAAUGCUUAACACAUGCAAGUCUUUGGCGAAGCUGUGCUUGCACAGCCUAGCCAAGGCGGACGGGUGAGUAACGCGUAAGGAACUUGCCCUGCAGUCAGGGAUAACAGACGGAAACGACUGAUAAGACCUGGUAAAGUCAGGCGGACUCAUGUCCAGCCUGAUGAAAAGAGAUGCUGCAGGAGAGCCUUGCGUCCUAUUAGCUUGUUGGUGGGGUAACGGCCCACCAAGGCGAUGAUAGGUAGCCGGCCUGAGAGGGUGGACGGCCACAAGGGGACUGAGAUACGGCCCUUACUCCUACGGGAGGCAGCAGUGGGGAAUAUUGGACAAUGGGGGCAACCCUGAUCCAGCAAUUCUGUGUGCACGAUGAAGGUUUUCGGAGUGUAAAGGGCUUUCAGCAGGGAAGAAAAAAAUGACGGUACCUGCAGAAGAAGCGACGGCUAAAUACGUG
RNAcentral lists this ribosomal RNA (463 nucleotides) under uncultured bacterium. RNAcentral's name for it is "partial 16S ribosomal RNA". It matches the Rfam family "Bacterial small subunit ribosomal RNA", at positions 28 to 507 of the family's 1533-position model. The record is from RNAcentral.